CUCUGGAGAGCGGCGCACGCUUCUGGCCAAGCGCCCACCGAUGGGGCAAGGCGGCUGCAAAUGACGAUUGCAGCCCGACAAUCUCUCAGGUAAAUGGACAGGG
Molecule: non-coding RNA, 103 nt
Filed under: Candidatus Accumulibacter
Lineage: Bacteria; Pseudomonadati; Pseudomonadota; Betaproteobacteria
Also listed under: 1 other name
Description: Glycine sequence
Rfam family: Glycine riboswitch aptamer
About the family: This family represents the bacterial glycine riboswitch. Glycine riboswitches usually consist of two metabolite-binding aptamers domains with similar structures in tandem. The aptamers cooperatively bind glycine to regulate the expression of downstream genes.
Source: RNAcentral